AAUUUCUCAGCUUCUUCUCAGCUCUCUACGAAAAUUUCUCUCUGAAAUCUCACUCAAAUCACAAUCAACUCCACUCCCUAAAGUCUGAAAUCGACGACGACAUCUUCCUCCCUCGCCGAAAAUCGACGACGACAGUUCAGUUCCUUGCUGGAAAUCGAUGGCAACAGCUCCAUUCGUUGACGACAGCUCCAUUCCUCGCUCCAGCUCCAUUCCUCGCUCCAUUCAUCUUAUUGAGAGAUCUAAUCAACUUCUCCUCUUUUAAAUCUACUACCAUUAUUUUAUUUCACCUUUACAGAUGUUGAUGCUUCUUUAUGCAUUGUGCGGAUGUAGAAUUCCAUGAUAACUUUAUAUUAUUUGUUAUGCUCUCGAUAAUUGAUUUCCUUCUUUAAUGCAAAUGCCCUGAUAUUUUAUUGGAUUACUUAUGCAGAUCAUAUAUUUCAGAUACAAGUUAGCUGGCUCUCAUGGGUACCGUUGUUGAGGAUCCAAAGAGGGAAGCAUAUGGAAGUUUAGCCGAGAAGAAGCCCACUGUUGUUUUUGUUUGGGUGGACCAGGCAGUGGCAAAGGAACCCAAUGUGCAAAUAUUGUCGAGCACUUUGGGUACACCCAUCUCAGUGCUGGUGAUCUUCUUAGGAAUGGUGAUGAUGAUGAUGAAUAAUUUUAAUGCUAGUGUGUGAAGCUCAAUCUAGAUGAAGACAGAUCAAAGAAAAAAACACU
Pistacia vera is the source of this 714-nucleotide long non-coding RNA. RefSeq lists it as uncharacterized. The transcript has 3 exons. The record is from RefSeq and is a predicted model, not a curated record. Lineage: Eukaryota; Viridiplantae; Streptophyta; Magnoliopsida; Sapindales; Anacardiaceae.